CGAACGUUAUUCGGAAUCACUGGGCUUAAAGGGCGCGUAGGCGGGCGACCAAGUCAGAGGUGAAAGCCCACGGCUCAACCGUGGAAGUGCCCCUGAUACUGGUUGUCUUGAGGGAGAUAGGGGCGUGCGGAACUUCCGGUGGAGCGGUGAAAUGCGUAGAUAUCGGAAGGAACACCGGUGGCGAAAGCGGCGCGCUGGAUCUCUACUGACGCUGAGGCGCGAAAGCCAGGGGAGCAAACAGG
Molecule: ribosomal RNA, 242 nt
Filed under: uncultured bacterium
Lineage: Bacteria
Description: partial 16S ribosomal RNA
Rfam family: Bacterial small subunit ribosomal RNA
Source: RNAcentral